This 549-nucleotide ribosomal RNA is filed under the name Trichosporon sp. 'multisporum'. RNAcentral describes it as "eukaryotic LSU rRNA". It matches the Rfam family "Eukaryotic large subunit ribosomal RNA", at positions 56 to 615 of the family's 3401-position model. The record is from RNAcentral. Lineage: Eukaryota; Fungi; Basidiomycota; Tremellomycetes; Trichosporonales; Trichosporonaceae.
GAAAAGAAACUAACAAGGAUUCCCUUAGUAACGGCGAGUGAACCGGGAAGAGCUCAAAUKUGAAAUCUGGCUGUCUUCGAUAGUCCGAGUUGUAAUCUAUAGAAGCGUUUUCCGUGCUGAACUGUGUCUAAGUCCUCUGGAACGAGGUAUCAAAGAGGGUGACAAUCCCGUACUUGACACAAUCAUCAGUGCUCUGUGAUACGUUCUCUACGAGUCGAGUUGUUUGGGAAUGCAGCUCAAAAUGGGUGGUAAAUUCCAUCUAAAGCUAAAUAUUGGCGAGAGACCGAUAGCGAACAAGUACCGUGAGGGAAAGAUGAAAAGCACUUUGGAAAGAGAGUUAAACAGUACGUGAAAUUGUUAAAAGGGAAACGAUUGAAGUCAGUCGUGUUUAUUGGAUUCAGCCGGUCUUCGGUGUACUUCCUUUAAACGGGUCAACAUCAGUUUUGUUCGGUGGAUAAAGGCAGUAGGAAUGUGGCUCCCUCGGGAGUGUUAUAGCCUAUUGUCACAUACACUGGAGGAGACUGAGGACUGCAGCUCGCCUUUUUGGCC